RNAcentral lists this ribosomal RNA (705 nucleotides) under Alexandrium tamarense. RNAcentral's name for it is "LSU rRNA". It matches the Rfam family "Eukaryotic large subunit ribosomal RNA", at positions 23 to 671 of the family's 3401-position model. Lineage: Eukaryota; Dinophyceae; Gonyaulacales; Pyrocystaceae. The record is from RNAcentral.
ACCCGCUGAAUUUAAGCAUAUAAGUAAGUGGUGGAAAUUAAACCAAAUGGGAUAUCUUUAGUAAUUGCGAAUGAACAAGGAUAUGCUUAGCUUGACAAAUGGAGCUAUUGGCUUUGAAUUGUAUUUGUGGAAUGUAUUACCAACAGAGGUGCAGGUGCCAGCCUAUUAAAUAAAGCGUCAAUGAGGGUGAGAAUCCUGUUUGUCAUGUGCAGCCCUUUGUGCACGGUGUAUAUUUGCUGAGUCACACUCCUUGGCAUUGGAAUGCAAAGUGGGUGGUAAGUUUCAUGUACAGGUAAACAUGCAAUUGAGACUGAUAGCACACAAGUACCAUGAGGGAAAUAUGAAAAGGACUUUGAAAAGAGAAUUAAAUGAGUUUGUAUUUGCUGAACACAAAGUAAACAGACUUGAUUUGCUUGGUGGGAGUGUUGCACUUGCUUGACAAGAGCUUUGGGCUGUGGGUGUAAUGAUUCUUUCUUUGCAUGCCAGUUUCUAUGUGUACAUCUGAUUACCUUUGCACAUGAAUGAUAAGUCUCCUGUGGGGGGUGGAUUGCAUGUGCAUGUAAUGAUUUGUGUUUUGAUAAAUGUGUCUGGUGUAUGUGUGUGUUCCUGUGCUUGGGGAUGCUUCCUUCCUUGGACUUACAAGCCCUGACACACACAUGCUGGCAAAAUGCUUCUGCUUGACCCGUCUUGAAACACGGUCCAAGG